Molecule: ribosomal RNA, 305 nt
Filed under: uncultured bacterium
Lineage: Bacteria
Description: bacterial SSU rRNA
Rfam family: Bacterial small subunit ribosomal RNA
Source: RNAcentral
GGCCCCCUACGGGAGAAGCAGUGAGGAAUAUUGGUCAAUGGGAGAGAUCCUGAACCAGCCAAGCCGCGUGAGGGAAGACGGCCCUAUGGGUUGUAAACCUCUUUUGUCGGAGAACAAAACCCGGGACGUGUCCCGGACUGCGUGUAUCCGAAGAAAAAGCAUCGGCUAACUCCGUGCCAGCAGCCGCGGUAAUACGGAGGAUGCGAGCGUUAUCCGGAUUUAUUGGGUUUAAAGGGUGCGUAGGCGGGCAGUUAAGUCAGCGGUAAAAUUGCGGGGAUCAACCCCGACGAGCCGUUGAAACUGGG